CUUUGGUUGAAAUAAAGGUAAAUUCUGUACAUUUUUUUUAAAAGUACCAAUUUAACAAAGACUAAUAGGGAAAAAUCAAUGGUGGUAUUACACCUAUUUAGGGAAACUACAUGUGCACUCGUGACCUUAUUGUACUUUCAUUUUUAAAAGUUAUUAAUAAACCAGUUCAUACAUUGUAAACAUGGACUAUUCGGAAUGGAUUGAGACACAGAAAGCACGUUUGAGGUAAAAUUGCCUUGAAAUGGGGGUUUACGGGUGUUUUCUAAGUCAAAUGGGUGGACAGACAAAGCUGUAUUUAGUUUACUGUGUUAAAUUUUAAAUAAUACCCUAACAGUUUUGUUUAUACAACAUGUGAAUUUUUUUAUUUCAGUGUUCAACCAUGUUCUGAAGAGCAUUCUGUUGAAAAAUCUUAUAUGUGAAUUGGUCUGCAGAUGACACUUCAGCAUUAAAGUAAGUAUCAACUAUCAUCAUGUUUUUUGUUUUUUUUUGGCCGCAAAAGUUUACAAUUUGCCAUUGUGCCAUCUACAUUUUGCACAGACAAUAAAUCAUCUAAACACUUAUUUGCCCUGGAUUUAUACACAUCAGAAUCCAGUCUCACAUACUUAAACUUUAUAAUUCUUACCAAUUAUUUUUUGUACCAGCAUUCCAAGGGACAUAACCCUUUUUAAAAACAUUUUGAGGUAUUUUUU
Molecule: long non-coding RNA, 689 nt
Filed under: Mytilus galloprovincialis (Mediterranean mussel)
Lineage: Eukaryota; Metazoa; Mollusca; Bivalvia; Mytilida; Mytilidae
Source: RNAcentral